This 121-nucleotide ribosomal RNA is filed under the name Scophthalmus maximus (turbot). The record is from RNAcentral. Lineage: Eukaryota; Metazoa; Chordata; Actinopteri; Pleuronectiformes; Scophthalmidae.
GCUUACGGCCACACCGCCUGGUUCACGCCCGAUCUCGUUUUGAUCUCGGAAGCUAAGGUACGGUUGGGCCUGGUUAGUACUUGGAUGGGAGACCGCCUGGGAAUACCAGGUGCUGUACUUU